RNAcentral lists this long non-coding RNA (2531 nucleotides) under Homo sapiens (human). RNAcentral's name for it is "HSALNT0131137". Lineage: Eukaryota; Metazoa; Chordata; Mammalia; Primates; Hominidae. The record is from RNAcentral.
GAGACAGACGCUCCCAGGUGUUCUGUAUUCAGGUCACCUCUGGGUGCAGGGUGGCUGCUGCUCCCCUGGGCUCUGUGUCCCAGGUCCUGCGAUGCCUGACAAAGGCUGCAGCCAGAUCACUGGGGCACAUGCGAGGAGGAAACAGAAUGGACAGGCCGCAACAUGCCAAGCCACUAAAAGGAUUGACGCUUUAUUCUUCAGAGGAGAAAUACCAUUGUGGGGUCUACGGACCUCUAUCUAAGGCUUGUUAAAACAAAACAGAGAUGCUUAUGCUCUGGAAAGACGCCCGGGAUCCACUGGGCAGAAUGGCAAAGGAAAGAUCCCCAGCACGGAGCUCAGACAGAUGUCCUCGGCGGAGCUGAGUGCGGGGGUACAGGGUGUGGGGGUGCAUCAGUUGUGCUCUGACAGGUGCACAGGGUCCCCUUUCCCUUUGGCACCUCGGCUGCCUGUGCUUCUGGACCAACUGCCUGUUGAGAAAGCCUCUCUGUGUCCAGAAGUGAACUAUGAAAGGCCCUGAGUGGAUGGACUAUAUGCAAGGCACAGGAAGGAGGCCAAGCCCUCAGGAGUGGCAUCCAUGUGCAUUUGGGGCAGAGUGACGACUGGAAAAGACUGACCACGGCCCAGGCUCCCUGCCUUUCAGCUGCCAGUCUGCUGGGAAGUCACUUCCAUGAGGGUGGGGAGAGGUGAUGGCUAUUGACACCCAAGUUACACCUACCAAUGACCCAGUGGCUUCGGGCCUCACAGGCAGUGAGUGGACAUCUAGGCACCUGGAAUGCACCUCUAGGGCUCUGUGCCCGGGCUCUGAACAAGGAGAGAAGCCGCCGGCCCUCCUCCUGACCACUUCACCUCCGGCAGGAGACUAAUGAUGCACCUAAGUUAAUUCACUCGACUCUGGGACUAUGAGGCAGUUCAUCCACACGCUCCAAACUCCAGCUUAUUGUAGGAGACCAGUGCCUCGAUCUCAUGAGGUCAUCUCGACGCCUCAGCUGUAACCCUUGGAGAACCUGUGGUCUCUGCUCCUCUGCCUGCUGACAUGAUCAUCCCAGGUGCAAAACAGGCAUCGGAAACAAGAGGUGAAUUCUCCCCAUAUGACAGGAAAUUGGUGCAAAUGACCAGAGCCCCCCACCUCUGAGAUACGGAGUCAGAGUCGGAGCUACAAUGACGGAUGACAUCAGCAUCAAUGUCAGCAUCCCCUCCAGCAUCACCACCGUCUACCAGCAACAGGGAAUGUUGCAGGUUUGUUUCCUGUUCCUUCUCCACGUGCUGUGUGCCAAGCACAGAAAGCCUCAGUGACCAGCUACUGAAUUAACCAGAAUAUGAAUGAGAAGAAUGACAUUGGAGAAACAGCAGUGUGGCAGUUGGGGCACGGGAAGCAGUCCUGACCCCACUCUUAACUAGCCAUGCGCAAGUCCUGGGCCCUGGCUUCCUCAACACUGAGGCAGCAAAAGCAGAUUCAACAGUCACCACAACCCCUGUCGUGGCAGCAUUCUCUUUUCCUCACAUGGACAGAUGCUCACGUCGGUGACGAAGGCACUGAGGUGCCAAAGAGCUUCCCAGAACAUCAAGGGAAGACUGACUGACAGCUGGUAGAAUAAGUGACAAAUAUCCCUUUUCUUGGAAGACAAUUUAUGCGUGCUGAAGUGGGAGAAAUGUAUUACUAUGAACGCUGUCUUACUCAACUCUGUUGCAUAGCUCAGAAUUCAGUACAGGUAGAUUUAAAAUAGUCUUACAUACAGAGCAGUUUAAAAAGUAUUGUGGAUUUCUGAGUGUCCAGGUUGGAUCCUUGACACUUAAGCACAUCCACUUCUGUUAUGGCUCCCUCUGGCUACAUAAGCUUUGGUGAUUUCUUAAUGACCAAGUGAGUAGCUUGUAAGCAAGGCUGAGAAACAGGAAGAAGUCCUCUUUGGCCAUCUGGUAUAUUGAUUCAAGUGAACACCACUCACUGGUCACCUGCGGACCAGAUGUGGCCUGCAGGUGUUUCAUUUCGCCAAAAGAAAUAUUUUUCAAAUUGUAAUGGGUUGUCAACAUUUAAAAAUCAUAUUUUUAUAUGGAAAUAUGGAUUUAGUACUUCUGCUGAAAUACUGGAAGAACUGGCAAUCUAACAAUUUCUGAAUGGCAAUGACUGACCAGAGCUGAGUCACAACGGUUCCUGUCAGAGACCGGGGGUUCUCUCCAGUGGCCUCCGUUAUAUGACACAAAGAGGGGUUCACUCAUUUCCAUUCCUUUCUGGCUGCAGUGGGCACCUGCGUUUGCCACCUUUCUCUUAAACAACAAGGAAUUGCUGAAGCAGAAAUGCACAGCCAGGGAAGCAGCUGAUUUUCUCUCAUCUUUUUCCUCCUCAUUAGCAUCAAUAAUUAAGUUUGGGACUGAUUCUUUUUAUGUCUUCAUAGCUAAAGUAAAAACUUUUGUUAGGAGCUAGUAGAUACUUCCCACCUCUUCUAAUUCAUUUUACUAAGCAUUAAGAUAACAUUCCUGGAUGGGCACGGUGGCUCCCACCUGUAAUCCCAGCACUCUGGGAGGCUGAGGCAGGU